This 272-nucleotide ribosomal RNA is filed under the name uncultured Staphylococcus sp. RNAcentral describes it as "partial 16S ribosomal RNA". It matches the Rfam family "Bacterial small subunit ribosomal RNA", at positions 89 to 355 of the family's 1533-position model. The record is from RNAcentral. Lineage: Bacteria; Bacillati; Bacillota; Bacilli; Caryophanales; Staphylococcaceae.
ACGUUAGCGGCGGACGGGUGAGUAACACGUGGGUAACCUACCUAUAAGACUGGGAUAACUUCGGGAAACCGGAGCUAAUACCGGAUAAUAUUUCGAACCGCAUGGUUCGAUAGUGAAAGGUGGUUUUGCUAUCACUUAUAGAUGGACCCGCGCCGUAUUAGCUAGUUGGUAAGGUAACGGCUUACCAAGGCGACGAUAGUAGCCGACCUGAGAGGGUGAUCGGCCACACUGGAACUGAGACACGGUCCAGACUCCUACGGGAGGCAGCAGCU